AUACGUAGGGGGCGAGCGUUGUCCGAAGUUACUGGGCGUAAAGCGCGCGUAGGCGGGGAAUUAAGUGAGAAGUGAAAGGCUGGGGCUCGACUCCAUGCAGUGCUUCUCAUACUGGUUCUCUUGAGGGCGGUAGGGAGAAGUGGAAUGGCUGGUGUAGCGGUGAAAUGCGUAGAUAUCAGUCGGAACACCGGUGGCGAAGGCGGCUUCUUGGGCCGUUCCUGACGCUGAGGCGCGAAAGCCAGGGGAGCGAACGGGAUUAGAUACCCCGGUAGUCCUGGCCGUAAACGAUGGAUACUAGGUGUUGGGGGUAUCGACCCCCCCAGUGCCGAAGCUAACGCGAUAAGUAUCCCGCCUGGGGAGUACGGCCGCAAGGUUGA
RNAcentral lists this ribosomal RNA (377 nucleotides) under uncultured bacterium. Its description in RNAcentral is "bacterial SSU rRNA". It matches the Rfam family "Bacterial small subunit ribosomal RNA", at positions 523 to 897 of the family's 1533-position model. The record is from RNAcentral.